AUACGUAGGGUGCAAGCAUUACCCGGUCUUAUUGGGCGUAAAGAGUUCUGUAGGCGGUUGAAUAAGUUGGAAGUUAAAUAUCCCGGCUCAACCGGGAGGAGGCUUUCAAUACUAUUUGACUUGGAGGUGACUAGGGGGUAGCGGAACGCAUGGUGUAGCAGUGAAAUGCGUUGAUAUCGGGAGGAAUACCGGUGGCGAAGGCGGCUCUCUGGACCAUUACUGACGCUGAGACGCGAAAGCGUGGGGAUC
Molecule: ribosomal RNA, 249 nt
Filed under: uncultured bacterium
Lineage: Bacteria
Description: partial 16S ribosomal RNA
Rfam family: Bacterial small subunit ribosomal RNA
Source: RNAcentral